Molecule: ribosomal RNA, 2931 nt
Filed under: Escherichia coli
Lineage: Bacteria; Pseudomonadati; Pseudomonadota; Gammaproteobacteria; Enterobacterales; Enterobacteriaceae
Description: 23S ribosomal RNA
Rfam family: Bacterial large subunit ribosomal RNA
Source: RNAcentral
GGGUUGUGAGGUUAAGCGACUAAGCGUACACGGUGGAUGCCCUGGCAGUCAGAGGCGAUGAAGGACGUGCUAAUCUGCGAUAAGCGUCGGUAAGGUGAUAUGAACCGUUAUAACCGGCGAUUUCCGAAUGGGGAAACCCAGUGUGAUUCGUCACACUAUCAUUAACUGAAUCCAUAGGUUAAUGAGGCGAACCGGGGGAACUGAAACAUCUAAGUACCCCGAGGAAAAGAAAUCAACCGAGAUUCCCCCAGUAGCGGCGAGCGAACGGGGAGGAGCCCAGAGCCUGAAUCAGUGUGUGUGUUAGUGGAAGCGUCUGGAAAGGCGCGCGAUACAGGGUGACAGCCCCGUACACAAAAAUGCACAUGCUGUGAGCUCGAUGAGUAGGGCGGGACACGUGGUAUCCUGUCUGAAUAUGGGGGGACCAUCCUCCAAGGCUAAAUACUCCUGACUGACCGAUAGUGAACCAGUACCGUGAGGGAAAGGCGAAAAGAACCCCGGCGAGGGGAGUGAAAAAGAACCUGAAACCGUGUACGUACAAGCAGUGGGAGCACAGAGCAAUCUGUGUGACUGCGUACCUUUUGUAUAAUGGGUCAGCGACUUAUAUUCUGUAGCAAGGUUAACCGAAUAGGGGAGCCGAAGGGAAACCGAGUCUUAACUGGGCGUUAAGUUGCAGGGUAUAGACCCGAAACCCGGUGAUCUAGCCAUGGGCAGGUUGAAGGUUGGGUAACACUAACUGGAGGACCGAACCGACUAAUGUUGAAAAAUUAGCGGAUGACUUGUGGCUGGGGGUGAAAGGCCAAUCAAACCGGGAGAUAGCUGGUUCUCCCCGAAAGCUAUUUAGGUAGCGCCUCGUGAAUUCAUCUCCGGGGGUAGAGCACUGUUUCGGCAAGGGGGUCAUCCCGACUUACCAACCCGAUGCAAACUGCGAAUACCGGAGAAUGUUAUCACGGGAGACACACGGCGGGUGCUAACGUCCGUCGUGAAGAGGGAAACAACCCAGACCGCCAGCUAAGGUCCCAAAGUCAUGGUUAAGUGGGAAACGAUGUGGGAAGGCCCAGACAGCCAGGAUGUUGGCUUAGAAGCAGCCAUCAUUUAAAGAAAGCGUAAUAGCUCACUGGUCGAGUCGGCCUGCGCGGAAGAUGUAACGGGGCUAAACCAUGCACCGAAGCUGCGGCAGCGACACUGUGUGUUGUUGGGUAGGGGAGCGUUCUGUAAGCCUGUGAAGGUGUGCUGUGAGGCAUGCUGGAGGUAUCAGAAGUGCGAAUGCUGACAUAAGUAACGAUAAAGCGGGUGAAAAGCCCGCUCGCCGGAAGACCAAGGGUUCCUGUCCAACGUUAAUCGGGGCAGGGUGAGUCGACCCCUAAGGCGAGGCCGAAAGGCGUAGUCGAUGGGAAACAGGUUAAUAUUCCUGUACUUGGUGUUACUGCGAAGGGGGACGGAGAAGGCUAUGUUGGCCGGGCGACGGUUGUCCCGGUUUAAGCGUGUAGGCUGGUUUUCCAGGCAAAUCCGGAAAAUCAAGGCUGAGGCGUGAUGACGAGGCACUACGGUGCUGAAGCAACAAAUGCCCUGCUUCCAGGAAAAGCCUCUAAGCAUCAGGUAACAUCAAAUCGUACCCCAAACCGACACAGGUGGUCAGGUAGAGAAUACCAAGGCGCUUGAGAGAACUCGGGUGAAGGAACUAGGCAAAAUGGUGCCGUAACUUCGGGAGAAGGCACGCUGAUAUGUAGGUGAAGUCCCUCGCGGAUGGAGCUGAAAUCAGUCGAAGAUACCAGCUGGCUGCAACUGUUUAUUAAAAACACAGCACUGUGCAAACACGAAAGUGGACGUAUACGGUGUGACGCCUGCCCGGUGCCGGAAGGUUAAUUGAUGGGGUCAGCGCAAGCGAAGCUCUUGAUCGAAGCCCCGGUAAACGGCGGCCGUAACUAUAACGGUCCUAAGGUAGCGAAAUUCCUUGUCGGGUAAGUUCCGACCUGCACGAAUGGCGUAAUGAUGGCCAGGCUGUCUCCACCCGAGACUCAGUGAAAUUGAACUCGCUGUGAAGAUGCAGUGUACCCGCGGCAAGACGGAAAGACCCCGUGAACCUUUACUAUAGCUUGACACUGAACAUUGAGCCUUGAUGUGUAGGAUAGGUGGGAGGCUUUGAAGUGUGGACGCCAGUCUGCAUGGAGCCGACCUUGAAAUACCACCCUUUAAUGUUUGAUGUUCUAACGUGGACCCGUGAUCCGGGUUGCGGACAGUGUCUGGUGGGUAGUUUGACUGGGGCGGUCUCCUCCUAAAGAGUAACGGAGGAGCACGAAGGUUGGCUAAUCCUGGUCGGACAUCAGGAGGUUAGUGCAAUGGCAUAAGCCAGCUUGACUGCGAGCGUGACGGCGCGAGCAGGUGCGAAAGCAGGUCAUAGUGAUCCGGUGGUUCUGAAUGGAAGGGCCAUCGCUCAACGGAUAAAAGGUACUCCGGGGAUAACAGGCUGAUACCGCCCAAGAGUUCAUAUCGACGGCGGUGUUUGGCACCUCGAUGUCGGCUCAUCACAUCCUGGGGCUGAAGUAGGUCCCAAGGGUAUGGCUGUUCGCCAUUUAAAGUGGUACGCGAGCUGGGUUUAGAACGUCGUGAGACAGUUCGGUCCCUAUCUGCCGUGGGCGCUGGAGAACUGAGGGGGGCUGCUCCUAGUACGAGAGGACCGGAGUGGACGCAUCACUGGUGUUCGGGUUGUCAUGCCAAUGGCACUGCCCGGUAGCUAAAUGCGGAAGAGAUAAGUGCUGAAAGCAUCUAAGCACGAAACUUGCCCCGAGAUGAGUUCUCCCUGACCCUUUAAGGGUCCUUAAGGAACGUUGAAGACGACGACGUUGAUAGGCCGGGUGUGUAAGCGCAGCGAUGCGUUGAGCUAACCGGUACUAAUGAACCGUGAGGCUUAACCUUACAACGCCGAAGGUGUUU